AUUUGACGAGCAGUAAGUGUUUGCGAAUGGAUUUGUCAGUAAAGUUGGACGAAAGUCUUGUAUGUAUGGCUGUGUUUUCUGGAGUCGUCGGUCUGUCUUGCACUGUAGUUCUAUAAAUUCUAUGCACAAGACCCUUGCAGAGACUCACUCCUCACAAGAUCUCGCUUCUUCUUGUUCGUGUUCCCUCGACGGUGUUUUGCCUCUUCUCCAUCCUUUUCUCUCUCUCUCUCUCUCUCUCUCUCUCUCUCUCUCUCUAUUACUGCUUUAGCUUGUGUCUUGGUUUUUCUGAUACCUUGUUGUUGCAGGGUUGGCGAGGUUGGGUUGGGUGAGAAGACAUGGCGAGGGUAAGAUGGUUUUGCUCAAGACCGCGCAACACUUCCAUAUGACAUCGCAUCGCUGUGCUCAUCUAUCCAUCAGCAGAUACCGAUGGAGAAGGCAUGGAAGGAGCGGGCGAUAGGUUUGGACAGCGAUGCGUUGGUUUAUGGCCAGGCUGCGCGGUCCUGCGCAAGAUCCGCCCAUCACUCGAUCCAUCUUAUUCCUUCUUGUUGAUCGAUCUUCGAUCUUUAGCUCGCACUCCUGAAGGCUUUUUGCUUCACAGGUUCCCGCUGACCUCGGUGAAGGAAAGAAUAGAAGGAACCAAGGGAAGUUGCAAGUCUUCGUCUGCAGCAGCAAGCAUCAAGAAUCACAAAGGGAAGCAUAUCUCACAUCAAGAGAUCGUGACAUGAGCCGAGCUGGAACAGUAUGCGAUAGAGUAGACUGGCACACCAAAUGCCAGAGGGUCGACGAAGCACUGAUCUCAAGUUCCGCAGUGAUGGUGCAAGCUGAUACGACCAGGAUGCGCAUUCCUCCAUGGAUCUGACUGCAAAGAUUCCGGCAGUGUGCAGUGUCCGAUCCUUGUGCAGAUUCAUCUGCUGUCGCUUUGCUUAUUGUCCUCUUCGCUUC
Long non-coding RNA from Musa acuminata AAA Group (dessert banana), 942 nucleotides. RefSeq lists it as uncharacterized. Lineage: Eukaryota; Viridiplantae; Streptophyta; Magnoliopsida; Zingiberales; Musaceae. The transcript has 2 exons. The record is from RefSeq and is a predicted model, not a curated record.